GUCCACGCCGUAAACGAUGAGAACUAGAUGUUGGGUUGCUUAGCGACUCGGUAUCGUAGCUAACGCGUUAAGUUCUCCGCCUGGGGAGUACGGUCGCAAGACUAAAACUCAAAGGAAUUGACGGGGGCCCGCACAAGCGGUGGAGCAUGUGGUUUAAUUCGAUGCAACGCGAAGAACCUUACCUACCCUUGACAUACAGAGAAGUUUCCAGAGAUGGAUUCGUGCCUUCGGGAACUCUGAUAC
Molecule: ribosomal RNA, 243 nt
Filed under: uncultured bacterium
Lineage: Bacteria
Description: partial 16S ribosomal RNA
Rfam family: Bacterial small subunit ribosomal RNA
Source: RNAcentral